RNAcentral lists this ribosomal RNA (264 nucleotides) under uncultured bacterium. RNAcentral's name for it is "partial 16S ribosomal RNA". It matches the Rfam family "Bacterial small subunit ribosomal RNA", at positions 332 to 589 of the family's 1533-position model. The record is from RNAcentral.
CUCAUCCUACGGGGGGCAGCAGUAGGGAAUCUUCCACAAUGGACGAAAGUCUAAUGGAGCAACGCCGCGUGAGUGAAGAAGGGUUUCGGCUCGUAAAGCUCUGUUGGUAGUGAAGAAAGAUAGAGGUAGUAACUGGCCUUUAUUUGACGGUAAUUACUUAGAAAGUCACGGCUAACUACGUGCCAGCAGCCGCGGUAAUACGUAGGUGGCAAGCGUUAUCCGGAUUUAUUGGGCGUAAAGCGAGUGCAGGCGGUUUAAUUAGUC